AAUAUGGUAGGAUAAAUAAGUCUAUAAGAUUCAUAUUCUUGGGGUUAAGCUGUAUUU
This 57-nucleotide transfer RNA is filed under the name Mansonella ozzardi. Its description in RNAcentral is "tRNA-Met". The record is from RNAcentral. Lineage: Eukaryota; Metazoa; Nematoda; Chromadorea; Rhabditida; Onchocercidae.